UGGGGAAUAUUGCACAAUGGGCGCAAGCCUGAUGCAGCCAUGCCGCGUGUAUGAAGAAGGCCUUCGGGUUGUAAAGUACUUUCAGUCGGGAGGAAGGUGGUAAGGUUAAUAACCUUGGCAAUUGACGUUACCGACAGAAGAAGCACCGGCUAACUCCGUGCCAGCAGCCGCGGUAAUACGGAGGGUGCAAGCGUUAAUCGGAAUUACUGGGCGUAAAGCGCACGCAGGCGGUCUGUCAAGUCGGAUGUGAAAUCCCCGGGCUCAACCUGGGAAAUGCAUUCGAAACUGGCAGGCUAGAGACUUGUAGAGGGGGGUAGAAUUCCAGGUGUAGCGGUGAAAUGCGUAGAGAUCUGGAGGAAUACCGGUGGCGAAGGCGGCCCCCUGGACAAAGACUGACGCUCAGGUGCGAAAGCGUGGGGAGCAAACAGG
RNAcentral lists this ribosomal RNA (429 nucleotides) under Chloroflexota bacterium. RNAcentral's name for it is "Chloroflexi bacterium partial 16S ribosomal RNA". It matches the Rfam family "Bacterial small subunit ribosomal RNA", at positions 355 to 776 of the family's 1533-position model. Lineage: Bacteria; Bacillati; Chloroflexota. The record is from RNAcentral.